GCCGAUGUAGCUCAGUGGUAGAGCGUUUCCUUGGUAAGGAAGAGGUCAUGAGUUCAACUCUCAUCAUUGGCUCAA
RNAcentral lists this transfer RNA (75 nucleotides) under Bacteroidetes bacterium 4572_77. RNAcentral's name for it is "tRNA-Thr". It matches the Rfam family "tRNA". From Rfam's summary of the family: Transfer RNA (tRNA) molecules are approximately 80 nucleotides in length. Their secondary structure includes four short double-helical elements and three loops (D, anti-codon, and T loops). Further hydrogen bonds mediate the characteristic L-shaped molecular structure. tRNAs have two regions of fundamental functional importance: the anti-codon, which is responsible for specific mRNA codon recognition, and the 3' end, to which the tRNAs corresponding amino acid is attached (by aminoacyl-tRNA synthetases). tRNAs cope with the degeneracy of the genetic code in two manners: having more than one tRNA (with a specific anti-codon) for a particular amino acid; and 'wobble' base-pairing, i.e. permitting non-standard base-pairing at the 3rd anti-codon position. Lineage: Bacteria; Pseudomonadati; Bacteroidota. The record is from RNAcentral.